This 468-nucleotide ribosomal RNA is filed under the name uncultured bacterium. RNAcentral's name for it is "partial 16S ribosomal RNA". It matches the Rfam family "Bacterial small subunit ribosomal RNA", at positions 28 to 507 of the family's 1533-position model. The record is from RNAcentral.
GAUGAACGCUGACAGAAUGCUUAACACAUGCAAGUCUACUUGAAUUUGGGUUUUUUAACUUAGAUUUGGGUGGCGGACGGGUGAGUAACGCGUAAAGAACUUGCCUCACAGCUAGGGACAACAUUUGGAAACGAAUGCUAAUACCUGAUAUUAUGAUUAUAAGGCAUCUUAGAAUUAUGAAAGCUAUAUGCGCUGUGAGAGAGCUUUGCGUCCCAUUAGCUAGUUGGAGAGGUAACGGCUCACCAAGGCGAUGAUGGGUAGCCGGCCUGAGAGGGUGAACGGCCACAAGGGGACUGAGACACGGCCCUUACUCCUACGGGAGGCAGCAGUGGGGAAUAUUGGACAAUGGACCAAGAGUCUGAUCCAGCAAUUCUGUGUGCACGACGACGUUUUUCGGAAUGUAAAGUGCUUUCAGUUGGGAAGAAAAAAAUGACGGUACCAACAGAAGAAGUGGCGGCUAAAUACGUG